Molecule: ribosomal RNA, 114 nt
Filed under: Bemisia tabaci
Lineage: Eukaryota; Metazoa; Arthropoda; Insecta; Hemiptera; Aleyrodidae
Source: RNAcentral
GUCAACGGCCAUACCACGUUGAAACACCGGUUCUCGUCCGAUCACCGAAGUUACAGCGUCGGGCGUAGUUAGUACUUGAUGGGAGACGCUUGGGAACACUGCGUGCUGUUGACU